CCUACGGGAGGCUGCAGUGGGGAAUAUUGCGCAAUGGGCGAAAGCCUGACGCAGCGACGCCGCGUGAGGGAUGAAGGUCUUCGGAUCGUAAACCUCUGUCAGCAGGGAAGAACGGUCACUGUGCUAAUCAGCAGUGAAUUGACGGUACCUGCAAAGGAAGCACCGGCUAACUCCGUGCCAGCAGCCGCGGUAAUACGGAGGGGGCGAGCGUUAAUCGGAAUUACUGGGCGUAAGGGGCUCGUAGGCGGUAUGUCAAGUCAAGGGGGAAAUCCCCGCGCUCAACGUGGGAACUGCCUUUGAAACGGGCAAACUGGAGUGUGGGAGAGGAUAGUGGAAUUCCAGGUGUAGGGGUGAAAUCCGUAGAUAUCUGGAGGAACAUCAGUGGCGAAGGCGACUAUCUGGCACAUAACUGACGCUGAGGAGCGAAAGCGUGGGUAGCAAACAGGAUUAGAUACCCGAGUAGUC
This 465-nucleotide ribosomal RNA is filed under the name uncultured bacterium. Its description in RNAcentral is "partial 16S ribosomal RNA". It matches the Rfam family "Bacterial small subunit ribosomal RNA", at positions 338 to 795 of the family's 1533-position model. The record is from RNAcentral.